AGCUCUGAUUUGCUUAUUGCACCACAUGUGUUUUUCUUUGAAACAAACUUGCUUUGGCGGUGGGCCCAGCCUGCCGCCAGAGGUCUAAACUUACAACCAAUUUUUUAUCAACUUGUCACACCAGAUUAUUACUAAUAGUCAAAACUUUCAACAACGGAUCUCUUGGUUCUCGCAUCGAUGAAGAACGCAGCGAAAUGCGAUACGUAAUAUGAAUUGCAGAUAUUCGUGAAUCAUCGAAUCUUUGAACGCACAUUGCGCCCUCUGGUAUUCCGGAGGGCAUGCCUGUUUGAGCGUCGUUUCUCCCUCAAACCGCUGGGUUUGGUGUUGAGCAAUACGACUUGGGUUUGCUUGAAAGACGGUAGUGGUAAGGCGGGAUCGCUUUGACAAUGGCUUAGGUCUAACCAAAAACAUUGCUUGCGGCGGUAACGUCUACCACGUAUAUCUUCAAACUUUGACCUCAAAUCAGGUAGGACUACCCGCUGAACUUAAGCAUAUCAAUAAGCGGAGGAAA
RNAcentral lists this ribosomal RNA (511 nucleotides) under Candida albicans. RNAcentral's name for it is "eukaryotic LSU rRNA". The stretch from base 143 to 296 matches the Rfam family "5.8S ribosomal RNA". Lineage: Eukaryota; Fungi; Ascomycota; Pichiomycetes; Serinales; Debaryomycetaceae. The record is from RNAcentral.